GCGGACGUAGCUCAGUUGGUAGAGCGCUGGUUUGUGGUACCAGUGGCCGCGGGUUCGAAUCCCGUCGUUCGCCCCA
RNAcentral lists this transfer RNA (76 nucleotides) under Acetobacter sp. RNAcentral's name for it is "tRNA-His". It matches the Rfam family "tRNA". Rfam says of the family: Transfer RNA (tRNA) molecules are approximately 80 nucleotides in length. Their secondary structure includes four short double-helical elements and three loops (D, anti-codon, and T loops). The record is from RNAcentral. Lineage: Bacteria; Pseudomonadati; Pseudomonadota; Alphaproteobacteria; Acetobacterales; Acetobacteraceae.